This 73-nucleotide small RNA is filed under the name Xanthomonas floridensis. Its description in RNAcentral is "sX9 sRNA". It matches the Rfam family "Xanthomonas sRNA sX9". The record is from RNAcentral. Lineage: Bacteria; Pseudomonadati; Pseudomonadota; Gammaproteobacteria; Lysobacterales; Lysobacteraceae.
AUACCACUCGUACACUUCGAUUCCUCCGCACCAUUCGCACCCACCUGAUGACUGCUUGCCACUUGUGCUAGCC